RNAcentral lists this transfer RNA (88 nucleotides) under Escherichia coli. RNAcentral's name for it is "tRNA-Ser". It matches the Rfam family "tRNA". Rfam says of the family: Transfer RNA (tRNA) molecules are approximately 80 nucleotides in length. Lineage: Bacteria; Pseudomonadati; Pseudomonadota; Gammaproteobacteria; Enterobacterales; Enterobacteriaceae. The record is from RNAcentral. RNAcentral also lists the same sequence under 1 other name.
GGAAGUGUGGCCGAGCGGUUGAAGGCACCGGUCUUGAAAACCGGCGACCCGAAAGGGUUCCAGAGUUCGAAUCUCUGCUCUUCCGCCA